This 459-nucleotide ribosomal RNA is filed under the name uncultured bacterium. RNAcentral describes it as "partial 16S ribosomal RNA". It matches the Rfam family "Bacterial small subunit ribosomal RNA", at positions 338 to 795 of the family's 1533-position model. The record is from RNAcentral.
CCUACGUGUGGCAGCAGUGAGGAAUAUUGGUCAAUGGGCGGGAGCCUGAACCAGCCAAGUCGCGUGAGGGAAGAAGGUACUGAGUAUUGUAAACCUCUUUUGCCAGGGGACAAAGGCAGCCACGGGUGGCCGUAAGAGGGUACCUGAAGAAAAAGCAUCGGCUAACUCCGUGCCAGCAGCCGCGGUAAUACGGAGGAUGCGAGCGUUAUCCGGAUUUAUUGGGUUUAAGGGGUGCGAAGGCGGCGUGUAAAGUCAGCGGUAAAAUGUGGGGGGUCAACCCCGGCCGGCCGUUGAAACUGGCGUGCUUGAGUUGGGGAGAGGUAUGCGGAAUUCGUGGUGUAGCGGUGAAAUGCAUAGAUAUCACGAAGAACCCCGAUUGCGAAGGCAGCAUACCGACUCCACACUGACGCUGAGGCACGAAAGCGUGGGUAUCGAACAGGAUUAGAUACCCUAGUAGUC